This 253-nucleotide ribosomal RNA is filed under the name uncultured bacterium. RNAcentral's name for it is "partial 16S ribosomal RNA". It matches the Rfam family "Bacterial small subunit ribosomal RNA", at positions 524 to 776 of the family's 1533-position model. The record is from RNAcentral.
UACAGAGGUCUCAAGCGUUGUUCGGAUUUAUUGGGCGUAAAGGGCGCGUAGGCGGCGGGGUAAGUCGGGUGUGAAAUCUCAGGGCUCAACCCUGAAACUGCACUUGAUACUGCUCUGCUUGAGGACUGGAGAGGAGACUGGAAUUCACGGUGUAGCAGUGAAAUGCGUAGAUAUCGUGAGGAAGACCAGUGGCGAAGGCGGGUCUCUGGGCAGUAACUGACGCUGAGGAGCGAAAGCGUGGGGAGCGAACAGG